RNAcentral lists this ribosomal RNA (396 nucleotides) under uncultured bacterium. RNAcentral describes it as "bacterial SSU rRNA". It matches the Rfam family "Bacterial small subunit ribosomal RNA", at positions 30 to 431 of the family's 1533-position model. The record is from RNAcentral.
AUUGAACGCUGGCGGAAUGCUUUACACAUGCAAGUCGAACGGCAGCACGGGGCAACCUGGUGGCGAGUGGCGAACGGGUGAGUAAUACAUCGGAACGUGCCCAAUCGUGGGGGAUAACGUAGCGAAAGUUACGCUAAUACCGCAUACGAUCUACGGAUGAAAGCGGGGGAUCGCAAGACCUCGCGCGAGUGGAGCGGCCGAUGUCUGAUUAGGUAGUUGGUGGGGUAAAGGCUCACCAAGCCAACGAUCUGUAGCUGGUCUGAGAGGGCGACCAGCCACACUGGAACUGAGACACGGUCCAGACUCCUACGGGAGGCAGCAGUGGGAAUUUUGGACAAUGGGCGCAAGCCUGAUCCAGCCAUUCCGCGUGCAGGAUGAAGGCCUCGGUUGUACGUU